Molecule: long non-coding RNA, 2646 nt
Organism: Humulus lupulus (European hop)
Lineage: Eukaryota; Viridiplantae; Streptophyta; Magnoliopsida; Rosales; Cannabaceae
Exons: 4
Source: RefSeq, a predicted model, not a curated record
UGAGACUUGUUAUUCUACGCUCUUUUAAUUGUUAUCUUCAUUUUGAUGACCAUGUUAGUUUUCUUUCAUACUGAAGAAAAUUAUAAUGCCAAUAUAUCCAGAUAAAUAAAAGGCAUGUUGCUGAUUUUCAGUGUUCCUGUAUCUUUACUAUUGUAGUAUGGGAGUUAUCUAUCUAAGACUGUGAUUAUGUCUUCGCAGUAUAUUGUAUUACUCAAUGCCCAGAUAAGUAUUUGCUGAUGGUUAAAUUAAUAAUACUGAUUUAUUGCAGAUGGUAAGAAUGUUGGAUAUACUAGCAGAAUAUAUGUCACAUAGAGGGUUUCAAUUUCAAAGGCUAGAUGGCAGCACUAAGGCUGAACUGCGUCAGCAAGCAAUGGGUCAUUUUAAUGCACCUGGUAGUGAUGAUUUCUGCUUCCUUCUUUCAACUCGGGCAGGUGGCCUAGGUAUCAACCUUGCAACAGCAGAUACAGUUAUCAUAUUUGAUUCUGACUGGAACCCUCAAAAUGACCUACAGGCAAUGAGUAGAGCUCAUAGAAUCGGCCAACAAGAAGUUGUGAACAUCUACAGAUUUGUCACAAGCAAAAGUGUUGAGGAAGAUAUCUUGGAGCGAGCUAAGAAAAGAUGGUUCUUGACCACCUGGUGAUCCAGAAAUUGAAUGCAGAAGGCAGAUUGGAGAAGAAAGAAGCAAAGAAGGGGAGUUAUUUUGACAAGGUGUGUUCUAUAGAGCAGUCAGCUGAGAGUUGAAAGAUCGCUGCGAGAAAUUAUUUAAAGGCUGUAAGAAGUUUAUGUAAGUGUUUCAACAUUACUCGCACACAAAUUCCAAUGAGAAAAGUUGAUUUAUUUAUUUUUUUAUUUUUUUGGAAUUCUUUAGAAUGUUGAAAAUGGUCUUGUUUUGGUGAAACAGAAAGUAGUGAGAGUGAAGUUUAGAUUCUUUCCAGGAGUGCAAAUAGGAAUUGUGGAGAAAAUGUACAGGCUUAAGUUUCAAUAAAAUUUAAUGAGAAUUGAUUUCAACAACUCAUAUCGACUCCUAAAAAAGGUAGUUAAAACCGACUAGACUUCUAACAAUAUGGUCUUUUACUAACUAACAUUACUCUUGAUCUGACAACAGAAUAGCAAAAGUACCCCAGGUAGUUAAAACAAACUAGAAUUCUAACAAUGUGUUCUUUUACUAACAUUACUCUUGAUCUUACUUAAACACAUUAAACUUUUGAUGAUUAAAGUCUUAAGAAUUUCUUUUCUUUAUGAUUUAUUUAGAUCAGAGGAACAAUGUAUACUAAUUUUUUUUUAUUCAGCAGUACCUCAACAAGCCCUGUGAUGGAAAAACUCAAUGUUGGAAACAAUGCCUUGGCCUGAUGAUUACUUUCCUUUUUUUACCACGGUUCUUUAGUUUGUUUCUAGAUUACUUUGUGCCUGAUGAUGAAAACUUUUAUUUUUGUAUUGAUAUGUGCAUUGAUUUCAUUUUGAGCCUCCAUCUUUUCUGCUCUCACCAUCUUUGGUACUCACCAUGAUCCAUUAUUUUAUUUUAUUUAUUUAUUUAUUACUAUUUUCUCAUGUUGGCUGUGGUGAUGAUGAUCUGUGUUUGCUGUUGGUGGUGGUGAAUGCCAAAGGUGAUGGUUGAAGUGGUGGUGUUUAAACCUUGAAGAUGUGAUUGGUUCUUAAUGAAUUUUCAAUGUUCAUGAAAUUUCUAGCAUUAAUCUCUAAAGGCAUUUAUAUAUUAAAAUGGUCUCUUUUUAUAGCUACAAAAUAUAUAUUUUAUUGCCUUAUGUAAUAAUAUGAAGAUAUUGUCAUUUUUUUUUGUUAGUUCACUUUCUUUGCAUGCUUAUUUGCCCUGUGAUGGGAAAUCUAAUUUUCAGAAGCAGUUUCAUGGUUUUGCAUUAUAAGCCUUGUCUCUCUCUCUCUCUCUAUACAUACAUACAUACAUACAUACAUACAUACAUACAUACAUAUAUAUUGCUCUCUCUCUCUCUACUUUUUCACCAGAAAAAGUCUAUUUUACAGAAUCUAUUGUGAGUGCUCUUAAGGCUUAUAAUGAAAAUUCUCAUGUACACUGUUAAUGACCAUAUUGGCUUAUGAGAUCUAAGGGCUUUUGAAUAUCUAAGUUUGUUAUUCUCUGUUUUAUAAUGCUUUAUUUGCUUUAUCACCUGUUAAUAGAUUAGAGGAAGAAUUAAUUAAAGAUUACCUUUAUUAUUAAUCUGUUUUAUAAUGCAUGUUUUUGAACACUACUUGACAAUGCCUUUGAUGCUUUUGUAUCAAGUAACUUGAACCUGUUUGCAGUGCAUUCUUGUUUACAUUGGAUUUGAUUUUGUCUAUAUCUAUUUUGGCCCAUCUUUGCUUCUUAGAUUAUGAACUUUUUUUUUUUGGCCUGAUGAUGAUAUUUGUCCUCUGUUUUUGCUAGUCUACUUAGUUUUGUUUCCUCAACUGAAAUAUAUGAGUACUGCCCUGUUUUUGUUUCUCAGUCAAGUGAAAAGCUUUGGAGCUUAUUUGUUUAAUGGUCAUUAACUACAUGAGGUGUUCCUCUUAUUUAGUAUUUUAAUUUAUAUUAGACUGAGCAUAAACUUCUUAGUUGCAUGAGUGAUCUUUUUGAAAGUUUUUUUAAGUUAUGAUAGGUUUCUUACAUUUUGUGGUGUAUCUCUCUGUUUAGAGAUAGAG